This 433-nucleotide ribosomal RNA is filed under the name uncultured bacterium. RNAcentral describes it as "partial 16S ribosomal RNA". It matches the Rfam family "Bacterial small subunit ribosomal RNA", at positions 29 to 507 of the family's 1533-position model. The record is from RNAcentral.
AACGAACGCUGGCGGCAGGCCUAACACAUGCAAGUCGAGCGAGCAUUUCGGUGCUAGCGGCGGACGGGUGAGUAACGCGUGGGAACGUGCCCUUUUCUGCGGAAUAGUCCUGGGAAACUGGGGGUAAUACCGCAUACGCCCUCUUGGGGAAAGAUUUAUCGGAGAAGGAUCGGCCCGCGUUGGAUUAGGUAGUUGGUGGGGUAAUGGCCCACCAAGCCGACGAUCCAUAGCUGGUUUGAGAGGAUGAUCGGCCACACUGGGACUGAGACACGGCCCAGACUCCUACGGGAGGCAGCAGUGGGGAAUCUUAGACAAUGGGGGCAACCCUGAUCUAGCCAUGCCGCGUGAGUGAUGAAGGCCUUAGGGUUGUAAAGCUCUUUCAGCUGGGAAGAUAAUGACGGUACCAGCAGAAGAAGCCCCGGCUAACUCCGUG